GAUAAAGAGGGGAAUUAAACCCAUAUGUGUAGGACUACAGCCUACUGCCUUACGCUCGGCCACUUUAAC
Molecule: transfer RNA, 69 nt
Filed under: Anolis fitchi
Lineage: Eukaryota; Metazoa; Chordata; Lepidosauria; Squamata; Anolidae
Description: tRNA-Tyr
Source: RNAcentral